AAAAACAUGUCAUUACUUUUUAUUCUUUUAUCGAUCAACAUUGAAGUACUUCCACAACAACUCAGACAUCACAACUACAUAUAACUAAAAAUACAGAAGAUGGAUAUAUAUUUUAAAACGAUAUAGCUUGGAAUGACGAGCGAUAUACCAUUGGCGGAUUCGUGCAGCCUGUCGGCGGCCAGGCCGUCAGUAUGGACCUGUUAGAAAAAUACUGUUUUUUGUAGUGAAACUAAGUAGUCUUUCUCGCAUUUUAAAUAACUAGGUAGCAUGAUCGAUUAAUUAAGAUCACAAUAAAGAAGACAAGGAUCAAAAUAUGUGCGAUCAAGAUGAGGAAAGUGGAGGAGAUGACGAAGGUUGAGAUGAAAAUGGCGAUGUAGGGAUGUUGGAGAGAGAUCUAGUCGGAAGUCAUGAUGGAGGAAAAGGUGAAGGUUGAAGGUGAUUGGUAACUGGUAAGUGGCACAUGUAUGUUAACAUUUACUUUUGCAAUUUGAAUUAUUACGACGACACCUGCGUCUACAUCGAUGUCUAAAUAUUGUACAAUGCCGCUUGCAUAUUCUAUAAUCCUUGUGGCAUCUUUCGAUCGAUGCAAUCAUAAUAAGGAGGAGGUGAAUGUGGUGGGUGGGGUAGUGAAGGGUGGAGGAGGCGAUGGAGGAGGAGGCGCUCGAAGGUGGGGUAGGCGAUUCUAAUUAUUUCAUCCAAGUGUUUUGUUUUUCUUUUAAUCAUACCAACAAUGCUAAUGGAUAGAAAGAAACAAAAUAUAUAUGUCAAGUUGCAUUAGUACUUCUUAUUCUUUUAUCAACAUUGAAGUAAUUCGACAACAACUCAAACAUCACACAUACAUAAACAAGAUAUAAAAUGACGAUCGAUCAUCUAGACAUUAAUUUGUGUAAAAUUCAGCAAGAUAGACAAACUAGCUAGGUAUGUAGUCAUUCUCGCAUUUUAAAUAACUAGCAUGAUCGAUUUAAACCACAAUAAAGAAGACAUGCAUGCAUGCAUGCAUGCGACCUAGGAGGUGAAAGUGGAAGAGAUGAAGGAGGAUGAGGUGAAAAUGGAUGCGACGGAGGGGAGAGGCUACGAAGAUGGUGGAGAUCGAGUGAUCAUUUAGGUGGAAGUGAUGGAGGGGAUCGAAGGUGAAGGUGGAAGUUGAUUGGGAAGUAAUACGUAAAAGAUUAAAGGCAUUUUUUUUUACAACUGGAAAACUUACGACGACACCUGCGUAAACAUCUAGGAAUAAAGAAACAACGAAUCUUGCAUCUAUUAUAAAUCUUUUUGCAAGCUUUGUGGCAAUCAUUAUUAUAUGGAGGAGGUGGUGAUGGAGGGGGAGGUGGUGGGGGAGGAGGUGAUGGAGGAGGUGGUGAUGGAGGGGGAGGUGGUGGGGGAGGAGGUGAAGGGGGGGGGGGAGGAGGCAGUUUAAUUAAUUUAUAACACUCAUAAAUACAAUGAUAAGUAAUCCCUCCACAAUCUACAAUGCAUUUUGUAAAGUCACAUUGGCAUACAUCGCAGAGAUUAUUAUCUUGAGCACUUUCGACACUUGAUAUAAUUGAAAAAGAUAGAACUAAGACGACUACAACAAGCAAUGUUUUCAUGAUAACUUGAUAUAUAAAUGUCUGAUCAACAAUCUCCUCCUUUUAUACACACAUUCU
This 1643-nucleotide long non-coding RNA is filed under the name Zostera marina. Its description in RNAcentral is "long non-coding RNA (ZMAR_LNC003706)". The record is from RNAcentral. Lineage: Eukaryota; Viridiplantae; Streptophyta; Magnoliopsida; Alismatales; Zosteraceae.